This 578-nucleotide ribosomal RNA is filed under the name uncultured bacterium. Its description in RNAcentral is "bacterial SSU rRNA". It matches the Rfam family "Bacterial small subunit ribosomal RNA", at positions 339 to 917 of the family's 1533-position model. The record is from RNAcentral.
CUACGGGAGGCAGCAGUGAGGAAUAUUGGUCAAUGGGCGAGAGCCUGAACCAGCCAAGUAGCGUGCAGGAAGACGGCCCUAUGGGUUGUAAACUGCUUUUAUAAGGGAAUAAAGUGAGUCUCGUGAGACUUUUUGCAUGUACCUUAUGAAUAAGGACCGGCUAAUUCCGUGCCAGCAGCCGCGGUAAUACGGAAGGUCCGGGCGUUAUCCGGAUUUAUUGGGUUUAAAGGGAGCGUAGGCCGGAGAUUAAGCGUGUUGUGAAAUGUAGACGCUCAACGUCUGCACUGCAGCGCGAACUGGUUUCCUUGAGUACGCACAAAGUGGGCGGAAUUCAUGGUGUAGCGGUGAAAUGCUUAGAUAUCACGAAGAACUCCGAUUGCGAAGGCAGCUCACUGGAGCGCAACUGACGCUGAAGCUCGAAAGUGCGGGUAUCGAACAGGAUUAGAUACCCUGGUAGUCCGCACGGUAAACGAUGGAUGCCCGCUGUUGGUCUGAAUAGGUCAGCGGCCAAGCGAGAGCAUUAAGCAUCCCACCUGGGGAGUACGCCGGCAACGGUGAAACUCAAAGGAAUUGACGGA